Molecule: ribosomal RNA, 407 nt
Filed under: uncultured bacterium
Lineage: Bacteria
Description: partial 16S ribosomal RNA
Rfam family: Bacterial small subunit ribosomal RNA
Source: RNAcentral
GACGAACGCUGGCGGCGUGCUUAAUACAUGCAAGUAGAACGCAGAUGCGAAAGGAUGAGUAACGCGUAGGUAAUUGCCUGGUAGCGGGGGAUAAGAAAUGGAAACGAUAGACAAAACCGCAUACUACCCGAUGGAACUGCGUUGUAUUAGAUAGUUGGUGAGGUAACGGCUCACCAAGGCAACGAUACAUAGCCGACCUGAGAGGGUGAUCGGCCACACUGGGACUGAGACACUGCCCAGACUCCUACGGGAGGCAGCAGUAGGGAAUCUUCGGCAAUGGGGGGAACCCUGACCGAGCAACGCCGCGUGAGUGAAGACGGUUUUCGGAUCGUAAAGCUCUGUUGUUAGGGACGCGGUACUUAACCAGAAAGGGACGGCUAACUACGUGCCAGCAGCCGCGGUAAUAC